UACGGGGGGUGCGAGCGUUGUCCGGAAUCACUGGGCGUAAAGGGCGCGUAGGUGGUUUGAUAAGGGUGUGGUGAAAGUCCGGGGCUCAACCCCGGAUCUGCCGUGCCGACUGUCAAACUCGAGGACUGUAGAGGCAGACGGAAUUCCGGGUGUAGCGGUGGAAUGCGUAGAGAUCCGGAGGAAGACCGGUGGCGAAGGCGGUCUGCUGGGCAGUUUCUGACACUGAGGCGCGAAAGCUAGGGGAGCAAACAGG
RNAcentral lists this ribosomal RNA (253 nucleotides) under uncultured bacterium. RNAcentral's name for it is "partial 16S ribosomal RNA". It matches the Rfam family "Bacterial small subunit ribosomal RNA", at positions 524 to 776 of the family's 1533-position model. The record is from RNAcentral.